Molecule: ribosomal RNA, 1214 nt
Filed under: Lactiplantibacillus plantarum
Lineage: Bacteria; Bacillati; Bacillota; Bacilli; Lactobacillales; Lactobacillaceae
Description: bacterial SSU rRNA
Rfam family: Bacterial small subunit ribosomal RNA
Source: RNAcentral
CUAUACAUGCAAGUCGAACGAACUCUGGUAUAGAUUGGUGCUUGCAUCAUGAUUUACAUUUGAGUGAGUGGCGAACUGGUGAGUAACACGUGGGAAACCUGCCCAGAAGCGGGGGAUAACACCUGGAAACAGAUGCUAAUACCGCAUAACAACUUGGACCGCAUGGUCCGAGUUUGAAAGAUGGCUUCGGCUAUCACUUUUGGAUGGUCCCGCGGCGUAUUAGCUAGAUGGUGGGGUAACGGCUCACCAUGGCAAUGAUACGUAGCCGACCUGAGAGGGUAAUCGGCCACAUUGGGACUGAGACACGGCCCAAACUCCUACGGGAGGCAGCAGUAGGGAAUCUUCCACAAUGGACGAAAGUCUGAUGGAGCAACGCCGCGUGAGUGAAGAAGGGUUUCGGCUCGUAAAACUCUGUUGUUAAAGAAGAACAUAUCUGAGAGUAACUGUUCAGGUAUUGACGGUAUUUAACCAGAAAGCCACGGCUAACUACGUGCCAGCAGCCGCGGUAAUACGUAGGUGGCAAGCGUUGUCCGGAUUUAUUGGGCGUAAAGCGAGCGCAGGCGGUUUUUUAAGUCUGAUGUGAAAGCCUUCGGCUCAACCGAAGAAGUGCAUCGGAAACUGGGAAACUUGAGUGCAGAAGAGGACAGUGGAACUCCAUGUGUAGCGGUGAAAUGCGUAGAUAUAUGGAAGAACACCAGUGGCGAAGGCGGCUGUCUGGUCUGUAACUGACGCUGAGGCUCGAAAGUAUGGGUAGCAAACAGGAUUAGAUACCCUGGUAGUCCAUACCGUAAACGAUGAAUGCUAAGUGUUGGAGGGUUUCCGCCCUUCAGUGCUGCAGCUAACGCAUUAAGCAUUCCGCCUGGGGAGUACGGCCGCAAGGCUGAAACUCAAAGGAAUUGACGGGGGCCCGCACAAGCGGUGGAGCAUGUGGUUUAAUUCGAAGCUACGCGAAGAACCUUACCAGGUCUUGACAUACUAUGCAAAUCUAAGAGAUUAGACGUUCCCUUCGGGGACAUGGAUACAGGUGGUGCAUGGUUGUCGUCAGCUCGUGUCGUGAGAUGUUGGGUUAAGUCCCGCAACGAGCGCAACCCUUAUUAUCAGUUGCCAGCAUUAAGUUGGGCACUCUGGUGAAACUGCCGGUGACAAACCGGAGGAAAGGUGGGGGAUGACGUCAAAUCAUCAUGCCCCUUAUGACCUGGGCUACCACGUGCUAA